AGACAGCAGUCGCCGCGGGAAUACGUAGGUCCCGAGCGUUGUCCGGAUUUAUUGGGCGUAAAGCGAGCGCAGGCGGUUAGAUAAGUCUGAAGUUAAAGGCUGUGGCUUAACCAUAGUACGCUUUGGAAACUGUUUAACUUGAGUGCAAGAGGGGAGAGUGGAAUUCCAUGUGUAGCGGUGAAAUGCGUAGAUAUAUGGAGGAACACCGGUGGCGAAAGCGGCUCUCUGGCUUGUAACUGACGCUGAGGCUCGAAAGCGUGGGGAGCAAACAGGAUUAGAUACCCCAGUAGUCCCUGUCUCUUAUACA
Molecule: ribosomal RNA, 307 nt
Filed under: uncultured bacterium
Lineage: Bacteria
Description: partial 16S ribosomal RNA
Rfam family: Bacterial small subunit ribosomal RNA
Source: RNAcentral